GAUGAACGCUAGCUACAGGCUUAACACAUGCAAGUCGAGGGGCAGCAUAUAUCUAGCAAUAGAUAUGAUGGCGACCGGCGCACGGGUGAGUAACACGUAUCCGACCUGCCUCAGACUCUGGGAUAGCCUUUCGAAAGAAAGAUUAAUACCAGAUGGUAUAGGAUUAUCACAUGAUAUUUCUAUUAAAGAAUUUCGGUUUGAGAUGGGGAUGCGUUCCAUUAGAUUGUAGGCGGGGUAACGGCCCACCUAGUCAUCGAUGGAUAGGGGUUCUGAGAGGAAGGUCCCCCACACUGGAACUGAGACACGGUCCAGACUCCUGGACG
This 323-nucleotide ribosomal RNA is filed under the name uncultured bacterium. Its description in RNAcentral is "bacterial SSU rRNA". It matches the Rfam family "Bacterial small subunit ribosomal RNA", at positions 28 to 344 of the family's 1533-position model. The record is from RNAcentral.